Molecule: long non-coding RNA, 3377 nt
Organism: Xenopus laevis (African clawed frog)
Lineage: Eukaryota; Metazoa; Chordata; Amphibia; Anura; Pipidae
Exons: 6
Source: RefSeq, a predicted model, not a curated record
AAAAUAUUUAAUUGAAAUUGUAUUUCGUUAUGUAUUAUUGUGUCGUAGAUAUCACUUCUUAAACUGAACUUAGAGAUGCAGUUAUGCCAGUCCCAGAGCACUUUACAGCAGCUGCAGUCGCAGUUCAGUCAGGAGCGUCAGCGUCUCACCCGGGAGCUUCAUGAGCUUGAAGAAGAUCAUCAGCAGAGGCAAAAGUCUCUUCAAGAAGCUCACAUCAUUGCAUUCCAGACUAUGGAAGAUGCAAAGGAUCAAUAACAAAAAAUAAGUGUGAUAUCAAAUAAUAUAAAGUGACAAUGUGAUGAAUGUAUUAUCCCUUUGGCAAAUUUUAGAAAUAGACGUCUAUGAAAAUUCUCAUUUAUCCAGGUCAUGAUAUACAGUAUCUAGUAGAAUUAAGUGAAAGGCAACUGGACUUUUAGAGUUUUUCUUGAAAAUAUUUCACCACUCAUCCGAGUGGCUUCUUCAGUUCAACUGAAGUGGUAGGGAAUUACACUGCUUUUAAAUCCUUGAGGCAAGUCACAGACAUCCAAUCAUAAUGGCUCGAUUUUACUUCAGUAAGGUGUUGGCUGAAACUCACAGAUGUGUGAAAGUGUGAUCCAGUCACGAUGGUACCAUAAGGCAGGUGUUAAUCUUUCAAUGUACAUGACUGGAAGUGUGAAUUGUUGUGAAGCCACCAGGGAAAGGAUUUCAAAUCAGCAUUUUGUUGAUGACAAGCAGUGUCACAGCCCCCCUCCUCUAUUCAGGGAUGGUUUUUAAACUUUGGCAUGAAUGGCCUCUUUUACAUCUCUUUCAACUCAUCUGUCUUUUCUAUCUAAAAUGUGCACAUUAUUGUUCUCAAAGGAAUGGCCCUUUUCCUUGAGAUGUAUAUAGACUGCUGAUUCUAGUCCUGAGGAGUUAGCCCUUCUAUGUUGGGCCAUUCUCUGACAGAUGUUUUGUCUCUCCAAUGUAUAGAUCGGUCACUCCUUACUACACUGGACAGCAUAGACCACAUUGCUCUUCAUAGUAAGUUAGGUUGAAAAAAGGCAUCAAGUUCAACCUUUUAAGUCGAUAUACAGUAUAGACUGCCUGCUAGAUGAUCCAGAAGAAGGCAAAAAAAAAACAUUUUGAAGCCUCUCCAUGUUGCCUUGGAAGGGAAAGAUUCCUUCUUGACUUCGGGAUGGGAAUAGGACCAGUCCCUGGAUUAACUUGUACUAUGAGCUGUCUUCCAUAACCUUGUAUUCCCUCACUUGCUAAAUAGCCAUCCAACUCCUUCUUAAAACUAUUUAAUAUAUCGGCCAUCAAAACUGAUUUAGGAAGAGAAUUGAACAUCUUCAUGGCUCUCACUGUAAAAAAAAAACCCUUCCGAAUAUAACCAGUUUCCUAUCCAUACUUCUUCAUUAAGACCAACAAGCCCUUAGUUUAGAAAGCAGUCAAGUGUGAAGCACUGUAUAAAACUCUAUGGCAAAAUCCAAAUAGAUCACAUAUACUGCUCCUCCUUUGUCCAGCAUCUUACUUACCUCAUCAUAAACCAUGCUGAUUACUGUUCAUAAUGCCAUUCACCAGGACAAUUCAUAUGUACCAUACUAGAUGAAAAGGAGUCUGAGAAAAUCAGAAAUAGAGGCCAGUCUAAAACUGAACCAUGCUCUCUUAGAACCCAAGAAUGUAUUCCAUCUGGCAUUGGUGCCUUGUUCACAUUCAUUUUUAGUAAAGCUUUAUGAACCACUGACUAGUUUGAGGUGAGCCAGCAUUACAGCGAUGAUGUGGGUCUUGGAACUCAGACUUUGUAUACACUGUGUAUACUGAAGAACCAAUUUAGCACAUUUGACUUUUCAGUAUCUGUUACAACUAUGCUGGUACCAUUAUUUAAAGGAACCACACUCCUAACCUGCAUAUUUUUUUAGACAAACAGCUUUUUCUUUUCUCUAUGUGUGGAGUAAGCUGGUGGAUAAAUUUAGUGCAUUUAUCUGGGAAAACCCAUGUAUGAAGCAUUAUGAAUAAUGGGUUGUAUAACCGUACAUCAAUAAGGAAAAUGGCCAUAAUUACGGGUAGUAUUACUUUAAUCAACAUGUGCUGUGUUGCAAAUCAUUCAGUUUGAUGUAAUUACUAGAAAAGGCAAGCCUUGAUAAUUAUUUCCAAUAUGCAGACUAUUCCUGAGAAAGUCUCCAUAGAAUAAAUUCAGAGAAAUGUAAGGGUUGGUUUACCAAUACAGCAGUUCAUUAUAAUAUCAUUAUUUAUCUUUGCAGGAUCUUGAAGUACACUUGCAUCAAAAAUACUCAGAGGAGAUUCAGAGUGUAAAGGAAGCACACAAGCAGAUGAUGGAUGAUCUUCAACAUAAAAUGGAGCAAGAACUUCAGACUUAGCGUUUUGAAUUAGAAGAUGAGGGAAAAGCAAUGUUAGCAUCACUACGCUCUGAACUUAAUCACCAGCAUGCAGCAGCUAUUGAUCUGCUAAGGAACAAUCACCAACUGGAGAUGGAUGCAGCUUCAGUAAACCUUGAGAGGCACAAAGAGAUCAGCAGGCACCAGGUUAACAGAAAUGGAAGAAAAAUAUCAGAACAGAGAGUCUAGGCCUAAGAUACGGUAACCGAGCGGGAUCAGCUCAUCACGAAACUAAUUGAUGACUAGAAGAUUUGCCAACUAGAGUUAGUGAACCGGGAGACCAACUUCAACAAAGUAUUCAAUACUAGUCCUAAUGUUGGGCAAAAUAAGAAGAAUAAUAAAUCCACAAACAGGUUUGUGAGUGUUCCUAACCUCAGUGCUCUGGAAUCUGGUGGAAUGGGAAAUGGACAUCCACAGCGCCUGGAGCCCAUUCCUAACUCCCCCAUCCACGAUAUUGAGUUCAACGGCAGCAAGCCAUUUCUUCAGCCCGUGCCACACAAAGAGGUGAAGACCUUAAUGAGCCCUCCCCAGACUGAGAGCUCAUCAGUGGCAUCCCCAGACCCCCAGCGUUAGGAAUGGUUUGCCAGAUACUUCACUUUCUAAGAGACACAAUUUGACUAUGUUUCUAUUUAUUUAUAUUGUGGCACAGCGUAGACGUGGACUGUGUGUAAAAGCAUGAUUUUGACAACUCAUGAUGUGACCAAACUUUGCCGUGAAACACUGUUUGUCAAACACUGUGAGCAAGUUUUUGUCUACAGCAACAAUUGUACUAUAAUUUUUUAGUCCAUUUCAAUAACAUUCUCAUUCCAUAAGGUGGUCACAGCCAUUAGAAACAAUGAUCACAAAGUCAGCAAAACUGCUGUACUACCCAGCGGUCACCUUCUUUUGCCAUAAUGCACCGCGAUACUGUGCCAGUGAUAGAAUGAAUCCCAUCAAAAUGAGACAAGGUUAUCUUAAAGGGGACCCGUCACCCAAAAAAAUCAUUCAUAAUCCUAUUUUAUCACAUCAGUCAAGCAAAAUUAC